GAAUUUUUAGACCAUCCAAAAAAAUUCGGAAUUUACUAUUUAGGGGCAGCAGUUACCAAUUCAUUUUAAAAAAAACUGUUUUGCUUUUCUUUCUCUUGAUCAAGCUUGUCGACCCUAAAAAUGGCAUGAUCUAACCAUAAAACAUCAUAUAUCAUGUAGAUCUAUAGUUCUCAUGUUCAGGAUCAUAAACUUCAUGGUUCAAAAUAACCAAAAAUCAAAUACAAGAUUAAACACAUUCAAGAGUAAGAAAAAUAAGAUUUCCUACACCUUAAAAACCUAGCUUCACUUUUCUUGCUUUUGAUCUAUCUUUUGAAACAUAAAAUAGAU
RNAcentral lists this long non-coding RNA (327 nucleotides) under Panax ginseng (ginseng). Its description in RNAcentral is "long non-coding RNA (PGIN_LNC007609)". The record is from RNAcentral. Lineage: Eukaryota; Viridiplantae; Streptophyta; Magnoliopsida; Apiales; Araliaceae.